This 484-nucleotide ribosomal RNA is filed under the name uncultured bacterium. RNAcentral describes it as "partial 16S ribosomal RNA". It matches the Rfam family "Bacterial small subunit ribosomal RNA", at positions 28 to 507 of the family's 1533-position model. The record is from RNAcentral.
AUUGAACGCUGGCGGCAUGCUUUACACAUGCAAGUCGAACGGCAGCGCGGGCUUCGGCCUGGCGGCGAGUGGCGAACGGGUGAGUAAUGCAUCGGAACGUGCCCAGUAGUGGGGGAUAGCCCGGCGAAAGCCGGAUUAAUACCGCAUACGACCUGAGGGUGAAAGCGGGGGACCGAAAGGCCUCGCGCUAUUGGAGCGGCCGGUGUCGGAUUAGCUAGAUGGUGGGGUAAAGGCUUACCAAGGCGACGAUCCGUAGCUGGUCUGAGAGGACGACCAGCCACACUGGGACUGAGACACGGCCCAGACUCCUACGGGGGGCAGCAGUGGGGAAUUUUGGACAAUGGGGGCAACCCUGAUCCAGCCAUGCCGCGUGCGGGAAGAAGGCCUUCGGGUUGUAAACCGCUUUUGUUCGGGAAGAAAUCCUCUGGGCUAAUACCCCGGGGGGAUGACGGUACCGGAAGAAUAAGCACCGGCUAACUACGUG